Molecule: long non-coding RNA, 508 nt
Filed under: Rattus norvegicus (Norway rat)
Lineage: Eukaryota; Metazoa; Chordata; Mammalia; Rodentia; Muridae
Description: long non-coding RNA NONRATT025481
Source: RNAcentral
UUGAACUAUUAAGCUCUUUGACUGCUUUUAUUUUUCUUUUUUCAGGUUCAAGUGCUGGAUUGUGUCAUGUGACUGUCCCAAAACUCAGAGCACCCUUUGGCCAUCUUUGCCCUCUGUCACAUAACUUGAAAACUGCCUGAUGGCCUUUUUGCAAUGGUUCCUUCCUGGAAACCUUGAUCUUGUUGAAGAAGUCCUUUCCUGGUAUUCCAGUGCCCCUGUCAGCCCAUACUCCUCAGACACCCUUAACAAAGGCAAUCACACACAUGAUGUAACAAAUACACAAAAUAAAGAGUUACACUAAUAAUACGUUCAGAGGAGCACCGGCCAGUCCAUACAGGUAGUGUGGGAAGAGGUGCCAGCUCCCACUGAAUGCUAGGCCAUAUCCUCAAGCCUCUUAGGGGAUAGAAAAGACCAGGAAACUGAGGCUCAACUCAGGUUUAUAUUCAUAAGACAACCCCAUUCCCCCUGUACUUGGUAGUAAUAAAGAGGCAAUAAUUGAAGUGUAAUG